RNAcentral lists this ribosomal RNA (449 nucleotides) under uncultured bacterium. RNAcentral's name for it is "partial 16S ribosomal RNA". It matches the Rfam family "Bacterial small subunit ribosomal RNA", at positions 29 to 523 of the family's 1533-position model. The record is from RNAcentral.
AACGAACGCUGGCGGCACGCCUAACACAUGCAAGUCGAACGAGAUCUUCGGAUCUAGUGGCGCACGGGUGCGUAACGCGUUGGAAUCUGCCCUUGGGUUCGGAAUAACAGUGAGAAAUUAGUGCUAAUACCGGAUGAUGUCUUCGGACCAAAGAUUUAUUGCCCAGGGAUGAGCCCGCGUAGGAUUAGCUAGUUGGUGGGGUAAUGGCCUACCAAGGCGACGAUCCUUAGCUGGUCUGAGAGGAUGAUCAGCCACACUGGGACUGAGACACGGCCCAGACUCCUACGGGAGGCAGCAGUGGGGAAUAUUGGACAAUGGGCGAAAGCCUGAUCCAGCAAUGCCGCGUGAGUGAUGAAGGCCUUAGGGUUGUAAAGCUCUUUUACCAGGGAUGAUAAUGACAGUACCUGGAGAAUAAGCUCCGGCUAACUCCGUGCCAGCAGCCGCCGUAA